ACUCCGUGGGCGUAGGACCCUCCAAGCCAGGUGCGAUAUAAUGUCGUGGUGCGCCGUUUUUUAAGCUGGUUGGAAAAGCGCAGUAUUCGCGUGGGAGUGACCCGAUUUUCCAGUGAGAUGAACCCGGUACCUCAGAUUGAAAUGCAGAAAUCACCCGUCUUCUGCGUCGCUCACGCUGGGAGCUGUAGACCGGAGCUGUUCCUAUUCGGCCAUCUUGGCUCCUCCCUCAGUUCUGGAGACUGGGACAUCCAAGGUCAAUGUGCUGGCAGAUUCAAUGUCUCAGAUGGUAAUCCAAUGUAUAAGCAAUGGACUGUUUUAUUCUUGGUGCUUUCAAGACCUGAUGCUUUGUUUUGAACAGGUUGAUACAUCUAGGAGUGAAAUACAUCACCGCUUUCCCUGCUCCCGCCGCCAUUAAAAUUGUGUUUGGCAUCUGACCACCAAGAUACAGAUAUUUCCUAGACUGUUUUGCAGCUAGGUACUUAGAUAGUAAUGAAGAUAGGGGCCACCAUUCCCUGUGAAAAUCAAGUGGGAAAGUCCUGAGUCCUUUAAUGACUUUACAGAGGACAGAAUAAACUCCUAUCAUAUUCAUGGAAGUUUUUCUAAGUUAUUUAAACUUCUCACCACACAAAAUCUGGAUUUGUAUCUGUCACGUAGUAAUUGCUUGAUAAAGCAUUUCUCUUUCCUCUGGAGAAAAAUAUCUGCUUUCUUUAAAAUAAAUGUUCCAUCCAUGCAGCUAAGCAGCUAAGGACACGAACAGCCACUGAUACAGGCCAACUCAUCAGUAGAUUAUUGAGGAAUCAUUCUCUUCAGUCAGAUCACGAUUUGAGUUUGAACUAACCAGAGAGUAGCAGAAGGAACGUUUUCUCAUUUCCAUGUCCAGAAAGAUAUAUUCCUGCUACCCUCCUGAAGUCAGAGGAUGAAAUCAUAGUCAAUACAUCUUUGCAGAUGAUUUCAUACUAGGACCUUUCAUUGGCUGAACAAAGACAAAGACAGAAAUCAAGGAAGGUCAAAGAAGCAGUCAGUUUUCUGGCACCCAAAGUUGUUGGAGAAGGGUACAGAGUCGGUAAAUAAGUCAUAUGACAGACAGGCAGUAUUUUCUUAUUUUAAUAACAAGUUUAAAAAUCCCACUUCUUGUACUUACCUUCUGUCUGACGUCAUCAGUAUUUUAAAAUGCCAACUGGGAUCAAGUUCAACACUGCAUUACUGAAGAAUCCAGAUUAUCUACAUUUCAAGUGCCAAAUGAAAGAAAGAACCCAGAAAAUAAAACAAUAUG
RNAcentral lists this long non-coding RNA (1273 nucleotides) under Homo sapiens (human). RNAcentral's name for it is "HSALNT0008898". The record is from RNAcentral. Lineage: Eukaryota; Metazoa; Chordata; Mammalia; Primates; Hominidae.